RNAcentral lists this ribosomal RNA (717 nucleotides) under uncultured beta proteobacterium. RNAcentral describes it as "bacterial SSU rRNA". It matches the Rfam family "Bacterial small subunit ribosomal RNA", at positions 777 to 1500 of the family's 1533-position model. The record is from RNAcentral. Lineage: Bacteria; Pseudomonadati; Pseudomonadota; Betaproteobacteria.
AUUAGAUACCCUGGUAGUCCACGCCCUAAACGAUGUCUACUUGCUGUUGGGGGUAAAACCUAAGUAGCGAAGCUAACGCGAGAAGUAGACCGCCUGGGGAGUACGGUCGCAAGAUUAAAACUCAAAGGAAUUGACGGGGACCCGCACAAGCGGUGGAUGAUGCGGAUUAAUUCGAUGCAACGCGAAAAACCUUACCUGCUCUUGACAUGCCAAGAAUCCUGCAGAGAUGUAGGAGUGCCUUCGGGAACUUGGACACAGGUGCUGCAUGGCUGUCGUCAGCUCGUGUCGUGAGAUGUUGUCUUAAGUGACGCAACGAGCGCAACCCUUGUCAUUAGUUGCCAUCCUUAAGUUGGGCACUCUAAUGAUACUGCCGGUGAUAAACCGGAGGAAGGUGGGGAUGACGUCAAGUCCUCAUGGCCCUUAUGAGCAGGGCUUCACGCGUCAUACAAUGGUCGGUACAAACGGUUGCGAAGCAGUGAUGUGUAGCUAAUCCGAAAAAGCCGAUCUCAGUCCGGAUUGUAGUCUGCAACUCGACUACAUGAAGUCGGAAUCGCUAGUAAUCGCAAUCACAUGCUGCGGUGAAUACGUUCCCGGGUCUUGUACACACCGCCCGUCACACCAUGGGAGUGGAGGAUACCAGAAGUUGUUAGGCUAACCGCAAGGGGGCCGAUUACCACGGUAUGUUUCAUGACUGGGGUGAAGUCGUAACAAGGUACC